GUCAGUGUGGUGUAGUGGCUUGAGUGUUGACUACAACUCUGGAGACCAGGGUUCAAUUCCUUGCUCAGCCA
Molecule: transfer RNA, 71 nt
Filed under: Phrynosoma platyrhinos (Desert horned lizard)
Lineage: Eukaryota; Metazoa; Chordata; Lepidosauria; Squamata; Phrynosomatidae
Description: tRNA-OTHER
Source: RNAcentral